Molecule: transfer RNA, 77 nt
Filed under: Acinetobacter phage Barton
Lineage: Duplodnaviria; Heunggongvirae; Uroviricota; Caudoviricetes
Description: tRNA-Arg
Rfam family: tRNA
About the family: Transfer RNA (tRNA) molecules are approximately 80 nucleotides in length. Their secondary structure includes four short double-helical elements and three loops (D, anti-codon, and T loops).
Source: RNAcentral
GCGCCGUUAGCUCAGUUGGAUAGAGCGAUUCCCUCCUAAGGAAUAGGCCGCAGGUUCAAUUCCCGCACGGCGCACCA